GAUGAACGCUGGCGGCGUGCCUAAUACAUGCAAGUCGAGCGAACGGACGAGAAGCUUGCUUUUCUGAUGUUAGCGGCGGACGGGUGAGUAACACGUGGAUAACCUACCUAUAAGACUGGGAUAACUUCGGGAAACCGGAGCUAAUAUCGGAUAAUAUUUUGAACCGCAUGGUUCAAAAGUGAAAGACGGUCUUGCUGUCACUUAUAGAUGGAUCCGCGCUGCAUUAGCUAGUUGGUAAGGUAACGGCUUACCAAGGCAACGAUGCAUAGCCGACCUGAGAGGGUGAUCGGCCACACUGGAACUGAGACACGGUCCAGACUCCUACGGGAGGCAGCAGUAGGGAAUCUUCCGCAAUGGGCGAAAGCCUGACGGAGCAACGCCGCGUGAGUGAUGAAGGUCUUCGGAUCGUAAAACUCUGUUAUUAGGGAAGAACAUAUGUGUAAGUAACUGGGCACAUCUUGACGGUACCUAAUCAGAAAGCCACGGCUAACUACGUG
This 497-nucleotide ribosomal RNA is filed under the name uncultured bacterium. RNAcentral's name for it is "partial 16S ribosomal RNA". It matches the Rfam family "Bacterial small subunit ribosomal RNA", at positions 28 to 507 of the family's 1533-position model. The record is from RNAcentral.